This 115-nucleotide ribosomal RNA is filed under the name Dongia sedimenti. The record is from RNAcentral. Lineage: Bacteria; Pseudomonadati; Pseudomonadota; Alphaproteobacteria; Rhodospirillales; Dongiaceae.
CCUGGUGGUCAUGGCGAAGGGUAAACACCCGAUCCCAUCCCGAACUCGGCCGUGAAAACCUUCAGCGCCGAUGGUACUCCGUCUCAAGACGUGGGAGAGUAGGUCGCCGCCAGGU